This 598-nucleotide long non-coding RNA is filed under the name Prunus persica (peach). Its description in RNAcentral is "long non-coding RNA (PPER_LNC003562)". The record is from RNAcentral. Lineage: Eukaryota; Viridiplantae; Streptophyta; Magnoliopsida; Rosales; Rosaceae.
GAAAAGCUAAAUUGCAACUACUCCUAGACUUAAGACUACUUAUGGUAGGUGUACCAUCAAUUAAGCUUUAACUAAUACAUGUUUGAAAUUAUCUGUAGGAUGACUAAAAAUGUCUAAAGGGGGGUGAAUAAGCCAAUUAAAAAUUACAAUCAAUAAACUUUGAUACUAGGAUUGAUAUGGCUUAUCAAUCCUAAAACGUGCUGAACAUAAAAUAAAGGAACACGCAUAGAAUUAUUUUACGUGAUAAAACCUUACCUCUAGAGAAAAUCUAUGAGACUCCUCAGUCUAAUACAAAUCCAUUAUAGAAUGAAGAUUACAAGAAGGUAGAAAAUUGGUGGUUGGGCAAUGGUCGGUAUUGAAGCAAGACUUGCAAUGGCUCUGGUACUGUAAGGUAGAAAAUUGGAGAUCGGGUAAUAAAUGCUGAGGAAUCAUGCUCCUUGCUAGAAAUGGGCUUAGGUUUUUGGCAAUCCCAAGCAGCCCAAAACUUAUAUUUCUUGAACCUUUUGACGGGCAUCAUCAAUCCUUGUAACUAUCUACACCACUACUCGCUCAGCAAGCCCCAUGCAUGUAUGUGGUUUAAGCCCACUUAAGCUUGUCG